GAUGAAGAACGCAGCGAAAUGCGAUACUUGGUGUGAAUUGCAGAAUCCCGUGAACCAUCGAGUCUUUGAACGCAAGUUGCGCCUCAAGCCAUUAGGUUGAGGGCACGUCUGCCUGGGCGUCACAUAUCGUUGCCUGAUGCCAGUUUCCUCGUGAUGGGUGACUGUGCAGGGCGAAUGAUGGCUUCCCGUGAGCAUUGUUGCCUCAUGGUUGGUUGAAAAUUGAGUCCUUGGUAGGGAGCGCCGUGAUAGAUGGUGGUUGAGUGACGAACGAGACCCAAUCAUGUGAGACCCCUACCGAAUUUGGCCUUCAUGACCCACAUGCGUCUUUGGAACGCUCAUGACGAGACCUCAGGUCAGGCGGGGCUACCCGCUGAGUUUAAGCGUAUCAAUAAGCGGAGGA
Molecule: unclassified non-coding RNA, 400 nt
Filed under: soil metagenome
Description: partial contains 5.8S ribosomal RNA, internal transcribed spacer 2, and large subunit ribosomal RNA
Rfam family: 5.8S ribosomal RNA (bases 1-122)
Source: RNAcentral